UGGGGAAUUUUCCGCAAUGGGGGCAACCCUGACGGAGCAAUACCGCGUGAGGGACGAAGGUUUUUGGAUUGUAAACCUCUUUUCUCAGGGAAGAACACAAUGACGGUACCUGAGGAAUAAGCAUCGGCUAACUCCGUGCCAGCAGCCGCGGUAAUACGGAGGAUGCAAGCGUUAUCCGGAAUUAUUGGGCGUAAAGCGUCCGCAGGUGGCAAUGUAAGUCAGUUGUUAAAGCGCGAGGCUUAACUUCGUAAAGGCGAUUGAAACUACAUAGCUAGAGUGUGGUAGGGGUAGCGGGAAUUCCUAGUGUAGCGGUGAAAUGCGUAGAUAUUAGGAAGAACACCAGCGGCGAAAGCGCGCUACUGGGCCAUAACUGACACUGAGGGACGAAAGCUAGGGGAGC
This 400-nucleotide ribosomal RNA is filed under the name uncultured bacterium. RNAcentral describes it as "bacterial SSU rRNA". It matches the Rfam family "Bacterial small subunit ribosomal RNA", at positions 355 to 769 of the family's 1533-position model. The record is from RNAcentral.